UUGAAAACAGAAGUCUAAUAAUUUACAAAAUUGACUUCUCAGUUCCAGGAUGAAAUGUCAACAUUUAGAAAUCAUAGUGUUACCAGAUGGUCCUUGCUCCUGGAGCUCCCAAGAUGGUGGUGGGCCGCUUCCACAAUGGCGGUGGGCCGUUUCCAAGAUGGUGGCAAGCCUCCUGAUCUCUGACCUGGGGUUCUUGGCCUCACGGAUUCCAAGGAAUGGAAUCUUGGUCCAUGCAGUGAGUGUUAUAGCUCUAUUAGAAGCUGUGGGUCACAGAAGAGAACCGUGGAACCCAGUGACUGUGUUCAGCUCAAUUAGGACGAACCUGCGCACUUAGCAGUGCAGGAACAAUGGAAAGCUUUUAGCUCAAUCAGGACCAGCAAUGUGUGCCUCGCUGGAUCAGGAGCACAGCGGACACCCUGCUGGAUCCAGAGGGAUGGAAGUCAGUGGCAGGUCUGCGAUGGCGGCAGACAGCAGUGGUGGACGGUGAACGAAAGCUCAGUUCAAGCCGUAACAAACAGGGACCAGAAGAGUGGGCAGUUGCAAGAUUUAAUAGAGUGAAAACAGAGCUCCCAUACAAAGGGAGGGGACCCAAAGAGGGUAGCUGUUGCUGGCUCCAAUGCCUGGGUUUAUAUCCCAAUCAUUGUCCCUCCCACUGUGCUUUCAGGCAAUAGAUGAUUGGCUAUUUCUUUACCUCCUGUUUUUGUCUAAUUAGCAUUUUAGUGAGCUCUCUUUACUACCUGAUUGGUCGAGUGUGAGCUAAGUUGCAAGCCCC
This 772-nucleotide long non-coding RNA is filed under the name Homo sapiens (human). RNAcentral's name for it is "HSALNT0161131". Lineage: Eukaryota; Metazoa; Chordata; Mammalia; Primates; Hominidae. The record is from RNAcentral.